RNAcentral lists this ribosomal RNA (520 nucleotides) under uncultured bacterium. RNAcentral describes it as "bacterial SSU rRNA". It matches the Rfam family "Archaeal small subunit ribosomal RNA", at positions 345 to 866 of the family's 1478-position model. The record is from RNAcentral.
AACCUCCGCAAUGUGAGAAAUCGCGACGGGGGGAUCCCAAGUGCCAUUCUUAACGGGAUGGCUUUUCAUUAGUGUAAAGAGCUUUUGGAAUAAGAGCUGGGCAAGACCAGUGCCAGCCGCCGCGGUAACACCGGCAGCUCUAGUGGUAGCAAUUUUUAUUGGGCCUAAAGCGUCCGUAGCCGGUUUAAUAAGUCUCUGGUGAAAUCCUGUAGCUUAACUGUGGGAAUUGCUGGAGAUACUAUUAGACUUGAGACCGGGAGAGGUUAGAGGUACUCCCAGGGUAGAGGUGAAAUUCUGUAAUCCUGGGAGGACCGCCUGUUGCGAAGGCGUCUAACUGGAACGGUUCUGACGGUGAGGGACGAAAGUUAGGGCGCGAACCGGAUUAGAUACCCGGGUAGUCCUAACUGUAAACGAUGCGGACUUGGUGGUUGGGUGGCUUUGAGCUGUCUCAGUGCCGAAGGGAAGCUGUUAAGUCCGCCGCCUGGGAAGUACGGUCGCAAGACUGAAGCUUAAAGGAAGU